AGAGUUUGAUCCUGGCUCAGGAUGAACGCUAGCGGCAGGCUUAACACAUGCAAGUCGAGGGGUAACAGAGGUAGCUUGCUACUUGCUGACGACCGGCGCACGGGUGGGUGAGUAACGCGUAUGCAACCUACCUUUUACAGGGGGAUAGCCAGAAGAAAUUCUGAUUAAUACCCCAUAAUAUUAUAGUCCGGCAUUGGAUUAUGAUUAAAGUUUCGGCGGUAAAAGAUGGGCACGCGUUACAUUAGUUAGUUGGUAAGGUAAUGGCUUACCAAGACAAUGAUGUUUAGGGGUUCUAAAAGGAAGGUCCCCCACACUGGUACUGAGACACGGACCAGACUCCUACGGGAGGCAGCAGUGAGGAAUAUUGGGCAAUGGGUGAGAACCUGACCCAGCCAUGCCGCGUGCAGGAUUACAGCCCUAUGGGUUUUAAACUGCUUUUAUACGGGAAGAAAAGUAGCUACGUGUAGCUAUCUGCCGGUACCGUAUGAAUAAGCAUCGGCUAACUCCGUGCCAGCAGCCGCGGUAAUACGGAGGAUGCAAGCGUUAUCCGGAUUUAUUAGGUUUAAAGGGUGCGUAGGCUGAAAAUUAAGUCAGUGGUGAAAUCUUGUAGCUUAACUACAAAACUGCCAUUGAUACUGGUUUUCUUGAGUAUAGUUGAGGUAGGCGGAAUGUGUAGUGUAGCGGUGAAAUGCAUAGAUAUUACACAGAACACCAAUUGCGAAGGCAGCUUACUAAACUAUAACUGACGCUGAUGCACGAAAGCGUGGGUAGCGAACAGGAUUAGAUACCCUGGUAGUCCACGCCGUAAACGAUGAUUACUCGUUGCAUGCGAUACACUGUAUGUGACUUAGCGAAAGCAUUAAGUAAUCCACCUGGGGAGUACGUUGGCAACAAUGAAACUCAAAGGAAUUGACGGGGGCCCGCACAAGCGGAGGAACAUGUGGUUUAAUUCGAUGAUACGCGAGGAACCUUACCUGGGCUUAAAUGUAGAUUGCAUAGAUUAGAGAUAGUCUUUUUCUUCGGAACUAUUUACAAGGUGCUGCAUGGUUGUCGUCAGCUCGUGCCGUGAGGUGUCGGGUUAAGUCCCAUAACGAGCGCAACCCCUAUCGUUAGUUGCUAGCAGGUAAUGCUGAGGACUCUAGCGAGACUGCCACCGUAAGGUGAGAGGAAGGUGGGGAUGACGUCAAAUCAGCACGGCCCUUAUGUCCAGGGCUACACACGUGUUACAAUGGCAGGUACAAAGGGCAGCUACACAGCGAUGUGAUGCUAAUCUCUAAAGCCUGUCCCAGUUCGGAUUGGAGUCUGCAACCCGACUCCAUGAAGUUGGAUUCGCUAGUAAUCGGAUAUCAGCAAUGAUCCGGUGAAUACGUUCCCGGGCCUUGUACACACCGCCCGUCAAACCAUGGAAGCUGGGGGUACCUGAAGUCUGUGACCGCAAGGAGCGGCCUAGGGUAAAACUGGUAACUAGGGUUAAGUCGGAACAAGGUAGCCGUAAAGGGCGAAU
Molecule: ribosomal RNA, 1504 nt
Filed under: uncultured prokaryote
Description: partial 16S ribosomal RNA
Rfam family: Bacterial small subunit ribosomal RNA
Source: RNAcentral